GUACUCAAGUGUGUUGUGGAACAAAAUUAACGCCUCUAUAAAAAGAAGAAAUCAAAGAGGCGCUCCUCAGAAAUUGAAGAGGCGUCCUUUCGCAAAUCGAAGAGUCGGGGCACCUUUCUCAAAAGCCGGAUUCUUUUUGCAAGAAGGGAUUGUUUACAGGAGGGUACUCAAGUGUGUUGUGGAACAAAAUUAACGCCUCUAUAAAAAGAAGAAAUCAAAGAGGCGCUCCUCAGAAAUUGAAGAGGCGUCCUUUCGCAAAUCGAAGAGUCGGGGCACCUUUCUCAAAAGCCGGAUUCUUUUCUCAAAAGAGGAGUUUCCGUUCUCAAAAGUCGGAUUCUUUUCUCAAAAGAGGCGUUCAUUUCUUAAAAGUUGGGCUUGCUCAGAAACCACGAGCCGAACCCCGGAUUUCGCAAGAUCAAUUCGUCCAGACGUGUUGUCACCCGUCACACGCAAACUCAGCUCUGCGAAAAUCACGGGCAGUCUGUCGAAGUGCCGAUUCCAACCAUCUGUCUCUCUC
This 517-nucleotide long non-coding RNA is filed under the name Malus domestica (apple). Its description in RNAcentral is "long non-coding RNA (MDOM_LNC011061)". The record is from RNAcentral. Lineage: Eukaryota; Viridiplantae; Streptophyta; Magnoliopsida; Rosales; Rosaceae.